GAUGAAGAACGCAGCGAAAUGCGAUAAGUAAUGUGAAUUGCAGAAUUCCGUGAAUCAUCGAAUCUUUGAACGCACAUUGCGCCCCCUGGUAUUCCGGGGGGCAUGCCUGUCCGAGCGUCAUUGCUGCCCUCAAGCACGGCUUGUGUGUUGGGCCCCGUCCUCCGAUCCCGGGGGACGGGCCCGAAAGGCAGCGGCGGCACCGCGUCCGGUCCUCGAGCGUAUGGGGCUUUGUCACCCGCUCUGUAGGCCCGGCCGGCGCUUGCCGAUCAACCCAAAUUUUUUUAUCCAGGUUGACCUCGGAUCAGGUAGGGAUACCCGCUGAACUUAAGCAUAUCAAUAAGCGGAGGA
This 348-nucleotide unclassified non-coding RNA is filed under the name soil metagenome. Its description in RNAcentral is "partial contains 5.8S ribosomal RNA, internal transcribed spacer 2, and large subunit ribosomal RNA". The stretch from base 1 to 120 matches the Rfam family "5.8S ribosomal RNA", at positions 35 to 154 of the family's 154-position model. The record is from RNAcentral.